UCCAGAGAUUUCCGAAUGGGGAAACCCAGCAUGAGUUAUGUCAUGUUAUCGAUAUGUGAAUACAUAGCAUAUCAGAAGGCACACCCGGAGAACUGAAACAUCUUAGUACCCGGAGGAAGAGAAAGAAAAUUCGAUUCCCUUAGUAGCGGCGAGCGAAAUGGGAAGAGCCCAAACCAACAAGCUUGCUUGUUGGGGUUGUAGGACACUCUAUACGGAGUUACAAAGGACGACAUUAGACGAAUCAUCUGGAAAGAUGAAUCAAAGAAGGUAAUAAUCCUGUAGUCGAAAAUGUUGUCUCUCUUGAGUGGAUCCUGAGUACGACGGAGCACGUGAAAUUCCGUCGGAAUCUGGGAGGACCAUCUCCUAAGGCUAAAUACUCUCUAGUGACCGAUAGUGAACCAGUACCGUGAGGGAAAGGUGAAAAGCACCCCGGAAGGGGAGUGAAAUAGAACCUGAAACCGUGUGCUUACAAGUAGUCAGAGCCCGUUAAUGGGUGAUGGCGUGCCUUUUGUAGAAUGAACCGGCGAGUUACGAUUUGAUGCAAGGUUAAGCAGUAAAUGUGGAGCCGUAGCGAAAGCGAGUCUGAAUAGGGCGUUUAGUAUUUGGUCGUAGACCCGAAACCAGGUGAUCUACCCUUGGUCAGGUUGAAGUUCAGGUAACACUGAAUGGAGGACCGAACCGACUUACGUUGAAAAGUGAGCGGAUGAACUGAGGGUAGCGGAGAAAUUCCAAUCGAACCUGGAGAUAGCUGGUUCUCUCCGAAAUAGCUUUAGGGCUAGCCUCAAGUGAUGAUUAUUGGAGGUAGAGCACUGUUUGGACGAGGGGCCCCUCUCGGGUUACCGAAUUCAGACAAACUCCGAAUGCCAAUUAAUUUAACUUGGGAGUCAGAACAUGGGUGAUAAGGUCCGUGUUCGAAAGGGAAACAGCCCAGACCACCAGCUAAGGUCCCAAAAUAUAUGUUAAGUGGAAAAGGAUGUGGCGUUGCCCAGACAACUAGGAUGUUGGCUUAGAAGCAGCCAUCAUUUAAAGAGUGCGUAAUAGCUCACUAGUCGAGUGACACUGCGCCGAAAAUGUACCGGGGCUAAACAUAUUACCGAAGCUGUGGAUUGUCCUUUGGACAAUGGUAGGAGAGCGUUCUAAGGGCGUUGAAGCAUGAUCGUAAGGACAUGUGGAGCGCUUAGAAGUGAGAAUGCCGGUGUGAGUAGCGAAAGACGGGUGAGAAUCCCGUCCACCGAUUGACUAAGGUUUCCAGAGGAAGGCUCGUCCGCUCUGGGUUAGUCGGGUCCUAAGCUGAGGCCGACAGGCGUAGGCGAUGGAUAACAGGUUGAUAUUCCUGUACCACCUAUAAUCGUUUUAAUCGAUGGGGGGACGCAGUAGGAUAGGCGAAGCGUGCGAUUGGAUUGCACGUCUAAGCAGUAAGGCUGAGUAUUAGGCAAAUCCGGUACUCGUUAAGGCUGAGCUGUGAUGGGGAGAAGACAUUGUGUCUUCGAGUCGUUGAUUUCACACUGCCGAGAAAAGCCUCUAGAUAGAAAAUAGGUGCCCGUACCGCAAACCGACACAGGUAGUCAAGAUGAGAAUUCUAAGGUGAGCGAGCGAACUCUCGUUAAGGAACUCGGCAAAAUGACCCCGUAACUUCGGGAGAAGGGGUGCUCUUUAGGGUUAACGCCCAGAAGAGCCGCAGUGAAUAGGCCCAAGCGACUGUUUAUCAAAAACACAGGUCUCUGCUAAACCGUAAGGUGAUGUAUAGGGGCUGACGCCUGCCCGGUGCUGGAAGGUUAAGAGGAGUGGUUAGCUUCUGCGAAGCUACGAAUCGAAGCCCCAGUAAACGGCGGCCGUAACUAUAACGGUCCUAAGGUAGCGAAAUUCCUUGUCGGGUAAGUUCCGACCCGCACGAAAGGCGUAACGAUUUGGGCACUGUCUCAACGAGAGACUCGGUGAAAUCAUAGUACCUGUGAAGAUGCAGGUUACCCGCGACAGGACGGAAAGACCCCGUGGAGCUUUACUGUAGCCUGAUAUUGAAAUUCGGCACAGCUUGUACAGGAUAGGUAGGAGCCUUUGAAACGUGAGCGCUAGCUUACGUGGAGGCGCUGGUGGGAUACUACCCUAGCUGUGUUGGCUUUCUAACCCGCACCACUUAUCGUGGUGGGAGACAGUGUCAGGCGGGCAGUUUGACUGGGGCGGUCGCCUCCUAAAAGGUAACGGAGGCGCUCAAAGGUUCCCUCAGAAUGGUUGGAAAUCAUUCAUAGAGUGUAAAGGCAUAAGGGAGCUUGACUGCGAGACCUACAAGUCGAGCAGGGUCGAAAGACGGACUUAGUGAUCCGGUGGUUCCGCAUGGAAGGGCCAUCGCUCAACGGAUAAAAGCUACCCCGGGGAUAACAGGCUUAUCUCCCCCAAGAGUUCACAUCGACGGGGAGGUUUGGCACCUCGAUGUCGGCUCAUCGCAUCCUGGGGCUGUAGUCGGUCCCAAGGGUUGGGCUGUUCGCCCAUUAAAGCGGUACGCGAGCUGGGUUCAGAACGUCGUGAGACAGUUCGGUCCCUAUCCGUCGUGGGCGUAGGAAAUUUGAGAGGAGCUGUCCUUAGUACGAGAGGACCGGGAUGGACAUACCUCUGGUGUACCAGUUGUCGUGCCAACGGCAUAGCUGGGUAGCUAUGUGUGGACGGGAUAAGUGCUGAAAGCAUCUAAGCAUGAAGCCCCCCUCAAGAUGAGAUUUCCCAACUUCGGUUAUAAGAUCCCUCAAAGAUGAUGAGGUUAAUAGGUUCGAGGUGGAAGCAUGGUGACAUGUGGAGCUGACGAAUACUAAUCGAUCGAAGACUUAAUCAA
Molecule: ribosomal RNA, 2821 nt
Filed under: Staphylococcus aureus
Lineage: Bacteria; Bacillati; Bacillota; Bacilli; Caryophanales; Staphylococcaceae
Description: partial 23S ribosomal RNA
Rfam family: Bacterial large subunit ribosomal RNA
Source: RNAcentral